UACGUAGGGGGCAAGCGUUAUCCGGAUUUACUGGGUGUAAAGGGAGCGUAGACGGCAGCGCAAGUCUGGAGUGAAAUCCCAUGGCUUAACCAUGGAACUGCUUUGGAAACUGUGCAGCUGGAGUGCAGGAGAGGUAAGCGGAAUUCCCGGUGUAGCGGUGAAAUGCGUAGAGAUCGGGAGGAACACCAGUGGCGAAGGCGGCCUACUGGGCUUUAACUGACGCUGAGGCACGAAAGCGUGGGUAGCAAACAGG
RNAcentral lists this ribosomal RNA (253 nucleotides) under uncultured Eubacteriales bacterium. RNAcentral's name for it is "uncultured Clostridiales bacterium partial 16S ribosomal RNA". It matches the Rfam family "Bacterial small subunit ribosomal RNA", at positions 524 to 776 of the family's 1533-position model. Lineage: Bacteria; Bacillati; Bacillota; Clostridia; Eubacteriales. The record is from RNAcentral.